GCUAUCGUCUGUCGCCACAAUCAUACGGACUUUUAACUGUUGCGCUAGUCGCACGCACAUUUGCUCGCUGACCAGAGUGAUAUUGAACUCAAAAGUUCAGUGGAUAUUAAUAAUAAAUAUACCUCGUCACUGAGUUGGGGUUGCUAAACGGAUAACUCUCUUCAAUAACGGAUUUUAGGAGAUUGUAAGGGAUAGCUACCAAACUUCAAGGAAUAACUCGUCAAAUGAAUAUUCACGCACGUUUUCCAUCCUACUAAAUGUACUUUGGUUUCUGCUGGGUCGUUCUACUUCCCUGCGAAAAAGUUACGGAUGUUUUUCAGCGGAUGAAGUACUCUCUGUAAUCACUUUCACAUUGCCUCGUUGAUUAGGCCUACCAUAUUGGUCCUGGGCUAAUAAUUCACCUGGAGUUAAUUCAUGGAUAUUGCCAAAACGUGAAGAGCCGUCAAGGAUAUUAAAGCAGGCUCACAAAAGUGUACUAAGCCGAGACGGGAAACGAACUUCACAUCGCAUACAGCAGACGACAGGCUUAACAGACGACAGACUGCGCAGACGGUAGACGGGAGGAAAGACGCGGGGAAGACUGGGCGAAUAAUUAGGCGGGAAAUGAGACAUCGACAUACCAUCUCACAUUUAGACAGCCUCGCCUGUGAGCUAUUUCUACCAUUGUGACGUCAGAGCCUACCAUCAAGGUCAUCAUACUUUUGUGACAUCGCCAAACAGACGACAUCCUGUCAAGCAAGACUAGGUCAGCCAAAUUAUUACAAUCUGGGCACACUUUGGAUCGCCUGACCAACCAGAAAGUUACCAGAACCGCGACAUCAAAACGCAAUCAUCAAGAAAAUCCAGGGCAUAGAUCAAAUUUGAUCAUACGGUUGGUGUUUUCAUCGUGACCCCGGAAACUUGGCGUUGAAAGGUUCGUUAGACAAUUUCUGGUCUUUUUCACUGGAAUCUACAGUCUCUGUUCCUUUGUAGGAAGGUGUAAAUUAUCAUCGUUAUACAUUGCUAUAGUGAUUUAUGACCUGCAUAAGACUUCAAGAGCUCGUCAUUAAGGAAGAUCACUUUCGCCUCUC
Strongylocentrotus purpuratus (purple sea urchin) is the source of this 1070-nucleotide long non-coding RNA. RefSeq lists it as uncharacterized. NCBI's taxonomy places the organism in Eukaryota, Metazoa, Echinodermata, Echinoidea, Camarodonta, Strongylocentrotidae. The record is from RefSeq and is a predicted model, not a curated record. The transcript is spliced from 3 exons.